AGGUUUCAAAUUGUCAUCUCUACUUCAACAUGAGAAUAGUUUUGAUAGUUUAAAUAAGUAUUCUUCUUUAAUUGCAUUCAUCAAUUUUUUCUGAGUUAGCUUUACUUAAGUUACCUUUGAACGAGGUUUAACUACAAAAUACAAAUCUUACAUAUAGUCAGGAUUGACUAUUCAUAUUAAAAAUCACCAUGAAAAAAACGCAGACCAAACAAAAGAGACAAUAUAAUCAAAACCAGUCCCAAAAUGAAAUAUGAUCCAUUUCCACAAAAUGGUUCCACCCAAUACCAAGAAAACUAAAUGGUGACUAAGGGAACGAGUGAAAAUAGUGAAUUCAUUAUCAUUCAUUACAAUUUUAUACCAUUUACAAUGAAUAUCUAUUACCUAUGAUUCCUUAACAUUUUUGAUAAAGGAAUAUAUUUUCUUCAUUUUUUUCCCUUUUCAUUCAUUUUUUUCUCAUUCUUAGUAUUCGUUUAAUCGGUAUCAGUUAGAGCCUAAUAUAUUUCAUUUCAUAACUACUUGCGAAGGAACGCCAGAACAACCCGAACACAUGUAACUCAAAAAAAAAUC
This 567-nucleotide long non-coding RNA is filed under the name Brassica napus (rape). Its description in RNAcentral is "long non-coding RNA (BNAP_LNC021300)". Lineage: Eukaryota; Viridiplantae; Streptophyta; Magnoliopsida; Brassicales; Brassicaceae. The record is from RNAcentral.